Vicia villosa (hairy vetch) is the source of this 84-nucleotide small nucleolar RNA. RefSeq annotates it as small nucleolar RNA snoR14. Lineage: Eukaryota; Viridiplantae; Streptophyta; Magnoliopsida; Fabales; Fabaceae. The transcript has a single exon. The record is from RefSeq and is a predicted model, not a curated record.
GCGAUAUGAUGAUAGAAAUUCACUGUCUAUCAAUUCACUGAUAUUCUUUGAUGUAAUUCAUGAAUCCCGACAGGUUCUGAUCGC